This is a long non-coding RNA of Nothoprocta perdicaria, 1439 nucleotides long. RefSeq lists it as uncharacterized. Lineage: Eukaryota; Metazoa; Chordata; Aves; Tinamiformes; Tinamidae. The record is from RefSeq and is a predicted model, not a curated record. The transcript has 2 exons.
CUUCCCACUGUAUAUUUGCAAACUGUUAAUACAAUUGUGCAAAAAAAGUUCCGACUCCUUUGCCAUCUAAAUUCUUCUUCCUUACAGACGGAGCAGAAAAAUAAAUUCAAGUACACUGAAUACACCUUUGAAAUAAAAUUCCAAGUGACACAUCUGGAUGAUUACCAUUUCUGUCUUUUGCACCAACAAUUUUCUUUCACUGUCCAUAGCAUGCGGGUAUUAAGCACCUUCUGUGACACUGAACAAAUCCGGAAUGUCAUGACAGGAAUGUCAUCUGAAGCAGGAUGACCUUUAGAGAAACACCGGCAUGCACAAGAACUGAUCUAAACCUUGCAGUCACCUGGAUUUUGCUCAUCUGAAACUGGGCUCAUUUGAAAGUACAGCACGUAGAGAAUAUUUCCUAAGGACAACAUUUAAUAAAGAAUCCAAAGGCUGCAAAAUGACUCUUUAAAGAGAUUCCAUUUUAUUCCUGUUAAAUAUAAAUGUAGUAUAGCCUUCGGCAAGAUGUUAACUUUAUCAUGGAGUUUUGUGCCAGCAACCACAGAAUAACAGCAGCAUCACAAGACUGAUCCAUCGGACACCUUUCAUCAGAUCAAUGAGAAGUUAUUUCAGAGAAGUGGCAUUGUAAUUCUGAAUUCUACCAUGAAAGAACCUAGUUCUCCAAACACAGGCAGGUAACUCCUGAUAGGAAAGGACUCCAAUCAGUGUGAAAUCAGCAAGCCUGCACUUGCUAAUGCAGCCCAAGCAGCACUGGGGUCAACCCAACAGCAAGGGAAAGCCAUUAUAUAUGACACAAUGAAGAGCCUGAGAACAACCACUUUAAAUAAACCAGUGAGUCAUUUAUUUCUCAAGGACUUUCAAAAAAUCAAACUACAACACUGCUCUCUUCUACAACUGAAAAACAGCAGUGCUUUUGUUAUAUAUAACAUAUGUACACAAAUGAUCCAAAACCCUGAGCUGCACUGGUACCGGUGCAUUUCCUGACAAAAUUUAAAACCCUAGGUCCAGACUAGGGUUUUCACUAUAUUUUCACUACUCCACAAAUUAAUGCCAUUGAUGCCACCCUAAACAUCUUUUCUUAUUUCUUCAAACUAAAUACAAAACAACUGCAGAAGGGAAAUCAGAAAGGACUUAUUUUAGGAACAAGACCUUAUAAUAACUGGAAAGGAUGACAGAGAUAUCUGAAGUGACAGUACACUUCAUCUGUACUAUGUACACAUUGCUUGGAUCUAAGAAAGAAGAAAGUAGUCAUGCUUUGAAGGUUUAGGAUUUUCACCAAAUCCCGUCUGGGAUAUAUGGCCUGCACAUUCAAAAGGUGGCUGGAUACCUCUGUUGGGUCAAACCCCUCCAAAGCACUUGCUUUACAGUUGACAUAAACAAGGACUCUUUCCCAAACUGGAGCCUUUAUUCGCAGAAUACUGUCCUUAAGUACUUCAGCA